UGGGGAAUAUUGGGGCAAUGGGGGAAAGCCCAUGACCCCACGCAACGCCAGCGCUGAAGGAAGAAAGGGACAUUUCGGGGUUUGGUAAACAUCUUUUAUCCACGGAGCGAAGGACGUGACGGUACCUGGAGAAAAAGCAACGGCUAACUACGUGCCAGCAGCCGCGGUAAUACGUAGGUUGCAAGCGUUGUCCGGAUUUACUGGGUGUAAAGGGCGUGUAGGCGGAGAAGCAAGUUGGGAGUGAAAUCCAUGGGCUCAACCCAUGAACUGCUCUCAAAACUGUUUCCCUUGAGUAUCGGAGAGGCAAGCGGAAUUCCUAGUGUAGCGGUGAAAUGCGUAGAUAUUAGGAGGAACACCAGUGGCGAAGGCGGCUUGCUGGACGACAACUGACGCUGAGGCGCGAAAGCGUGGGGAGCAAACAGGAUUAGAUACC
RNAcentral lists this ribosomal RNA (433 nucleotides) under uncultured bacterium. RNAcentral describes it as "bacterial SSU rRNA". It matches the Rfam family "Bacterial small subunit ribosomal RNA", at positions 355 to 786 of the family's 1533-position model. The record is from RNAcentral.